Molecule: ribosomal RNA, 406 nt
Filed under: uncultured bacterium
Lineage: Bacteria
Description: partial 16S ribosomal RNA
Rfam family: Bacterial small subunit ribosomal RNA
Source: RNAcentral
AUUGAACGCUGGCGGCAGGCCUAACACAUGCAAGUCGAACGAGUGGCGGACGGGUGAGUAAUGUCUGGGAAACUGCCUGAUGGAGGGGGAUAACUACUGGAAACGGUAGCUAAUACCGCAUACCAUCAGAUGUGCCCAGAUGGGAUUAGCUAGUAGGUGGGGUAACGGCUCACCUAGGCGACGAUCCCUAGCUGGUCUGAGAGGAUGACCAGCAAAACUGGAAUUGAGACAGGGUCCAGCCUCCUAGGGGAGGCAGCAGGGGGGAAUAUUGCAAAAGGGGGGCAAGCCUGAUGCAGCCAUGCCGGGUGUAUGAAGAAGGCCUUCGGGUUGUAAAGUACUUUCAGCGGGGAGGCGUUACCCGCAGAAGAAGCACCGGCUAACGCCGGGCCAGCAGCCGCGGUAAUAC